GACGAACGCUGGCGGCGUGCUUAACACAUGCAAGUCGAGCGGUAAGGCCCUUUCGGGGGUACACGAGCGGCGAACGGGUGAGUAACACGUGGGUGACCUGCCCUCAGCUCUGGGAUAAGCCGUGGGAAAACCCGGGGUCCUAAUACCGGAUAUGACUCCAUGACGCAUGUUGUGGGGUGGAAAGCCUUGUGCGGCUGAGGAUGGGCCCGCGGCCUAUCAGCUUGUUGG
This 228-nucleotide ribosomal RNA is filed under the name uncultured bacterium. Its description in RNAcentral is "partial 16S ribosomal RNA". It matches the Rfam family "Bacterial small subunit ribosomal RNA", at positions 28 to 252 of the family's 1533-position model. The record is from RNAcentral.